CACAAUUCAAGUCACCAUAUUUGUCAAGCACGGGUGGGGUGUCAUGCAAAGGAGUACAAGCAAAAUCAUUUUUCAAAGAUAUGUCAAGCACAUGAUUAACCCUAUGAGCCAAGCAAACAUUAGAAUCUUUACAACAACAUAGGCUCACGGGUUCACUCCUUUAUCCUUGACCAUCAUCUUCAAAUUCUUCACUCACUUGAGAUUCAUUAAUCACAUCACACAUAUUCUCAAGUGGUGGGCAAGUUUUACACACAAGUUAAUCAACACAAUUUUCAC
RNAcentral lists this long non-coding RNA (276 nucleotides) under Capsicum annuum. RNAcentral's name for it is "long non-coding RNA (CANN_LNC008804)". The record is from RNAcentral. Lineage: Eukaryota; Viridiplantae; Streptophyta; Magnoliopsida; Solanales; Solanaceae.